ACGGCGAGUGAAGCGGGAACAGCUCAAAUUUGAAAUCUGGCCUUCGGGUCCGAAUUGUAAUUUGCAGAGGAUGCUUUUGGUUAGGUACUUUCCGAGUUCCCUGGAACGGGACGCCUUAGAGGGUGAGAGCCCCGUACGGUUGGAUACCGAGCCUUUGUAAAGCUCCUUCGACGAGUCGAGUAGUUUGGGAAUGCUGCUCUAAAUGGGAGGUAAAUUUCUUCUAAAGCUAAAUACCGGCCAGAGACCGAUAGCGCACAAGUAGAGUGAUCGAAAGAUGAAAAGCACUUUGAAAAGAGGGUUAAAUAGCACGUGAAAUUGUUGAAAGGGAAGCGUUUAUGACCAGACUUUUUCCAGGCGGAUCAUCCGGUGUUCUCACCGGUGCACUUCGUCUGGUUGAGGCCAGCAUCGGUUUUCGUAGAGGGAUAAAAGCAGUAGGAAUGUGAUUCCCCCGGGAAUGUUAUAGCCUAUUGUAUAAUACCUUUAUGGGGACCGAGGUUCGCGCAUCUGCAAGGAUGCUGGCGUAAUGGUCAUCAACGACCCGUCUUGAAACACGGACCAAGGAGUCGAACAUUUGUGCGAGUGUUUGGGUGUUAAACCCUCACGCGUAAUGAAAGUGAACGGAGGUGAGAGCCCUUACGGGUGCAUCAUCGACCGAUCCUGAUGUUUUCGGAUGGAUUUGAGUAAGAGCAUAACUGUUCGGACCCGAAAGAUGGUGAACUAUGCGUGGAUAGGGUGAAGCCAGAGGAAACUCUGGUGGAGGCUCGCAGCGGUUCUGACGUGCAAAUCGAUC
Molecule: ribosomal RNA, 790 nt
Filed under: Beltraniella acaciae
Lineage: Eukaryota; Fungi; Ascomycota; Sordariomycetes; Amphisphaeriales; Beltraniaceae
Description: eukaryotic LSU rRNA
Rfam family: Eukaryotic large subunit ribosomal RNA
Source: RNAcentral